RNAcentral lists this ribosomal RNA (798 nucleotides) under uncultured bacterium. Its description in RNAcentral is "bacterial SSU rRNA". It matches the Rfam family "Bacterial small subunit ribosomal RNA", at positions 1 to 789 of the family's 1533-position model. The record is from RNAcentral.
CUUAGAGUUUGAUCAUGGCUCAGGAUGAACGCUGGCGGCGUGCCUAACACAUGCAAGUCGAACGAAGCACGGGAGACGGACUGAUAAGCUUGCUUAGAGGGAAGGCUUUCGUGACUGAGUGGCGGACGGGUGAGUAACGCGUGGGCAACCUGCCCCGUACCGGGGGAUAACAGUUAGAAAUGACUGCUAAUACCGCAUAAGCGCACAGGACCGCAUGGUCGAGUGUGAAAAACUCCGGUGGUACGGGAUGGGCCCGCGUCUGAUUAGCUGGUUGGCGGGGUAGAGGCCCACCAAGGCGACGAUCAGUAGCCGACCUGAGAGGGUGACCGGCCACAUUGGGACCGAGACACGGCCCAAACUCCUACGGGAGGCAGCAGUGGGGAAUAUUGCACAAUGGGGGGAACCCUGAUGCAGCGACGCCGCGUGAGUGAAGAAGUAUUUCGGUAUGUAAAGCUCUAUCAGCAGGGAAGAAAAUGACGGUACCUGACUAAGAAGCCCCGGCUAACUACGUGCCAGCAGCCGCGGUAAUACGUAGGGGGCAAGCGUUAUCCGGAUUUACUGGGUGUAAAGGGAGCGUAGACGGCAAUGCAAGUCAGAAGUGAAAGCCCGGGGCUCAACUCCGGGACUGCUUUUGAAACUGCGAAGCUGGAGUGCAGGAGAGGCAAGCGGAAUUCCUAGUGUAGCGGUGAAAUGCGUAGAUAUUAGGAGGAACACCAGUGGCGAAGGCGGCUUGCUGGACUGUAACUGACGUUGAGGCUCGAAAGCGUGGGGAGCAAACAGGAUUAAGCCGAAUUCCAG